RNAcentral lists this ribosomal RNA (1488 nucleotides) under uncultured prokaryote. RNAcentral's name for it is "partial 16S ribosomal RNA". It matches the Rfam family "Bacterial small subunit ribosomal RNA". The record is from RNAcentral.
UGAGUUUGAUCAUCAGGAUCAAACCUAGCGGGAGGCUUAACACAUGCAAGUCGAGGGGUAACAUUGGAGCUUGCUUCAGAUGACGACCGGCGCACGGGUGAGUAACGCGUAUGCAACCUACCUCAAACAGGGGAAUAGCUCAGGGAAACCUGGAUUAAUACCCCAUAAUAUUUAGAUUUGGCAUCAGAUUUAAAUUAAAACUCCGGUGGUUUGAGAUGGGCAUGCGUGACAUUAGCUAGUUGGUAAGGUAAUGGCUUACCAAGGCUACGAUGUCUAGGGGUUCUGAGAGGAUGAUCCCCCACACUGGUACUGAGACACGGACCAGACUCCUACGGGAGGCAGCAGUCAGGAAUAUUGGUCAAUGGGCCCAAGCCUGAACCAGCCAUCCCGCGUGUAGGAAGACUGCCCUAUGGGUUGUAAACUACUUUUUUAAGGGUAGAAACUCCCGCACGUGUGCGGGAUUGACUGUACUUUACGAAUAAGCACCGGCUAACUCCGUGCCAGCAGCCGCGGUAAUACGGAGGGUGCAAGCGUUAUCCGGAUUUAUUGGGUUUAAAGGGUGCGUAGGCGGGCCUUUAAGUCAGUGGUGAAAUCCUGCAGCUUAACUGUAGAACUGCCAUUGAUACUGAAGGCCUUGAGUAUAGUUGAGGUAGGCGGAAUGCGUAAUGUAGCGGUGAAAUGCUUAGAUAUUACUCAGAACACCGAUUGCGAAGGCAGCUUACUAAACUGUUACUGACACUGAUGGACGAAAGCGUGGGGAGCGAACAGGAUUAGAUACCCUGGUAGUCCACGCCGUAAACGAUGCUCACUCGCUGCUUGCGAUACAUUGUAAGUGGCCAAGCGAAAGUUUUAAGUGAGCCACCUGGGGAGUACGAUCGCAAGGUUGAAACUCAAAGGAAUUGACGGGGGCCCGCACAAGCGGAGGAACAUGUGGUUUAAUUCGAUCAUACGCGAGGAACCUUACCUGGGCUUAAAUGUAGUAUGACCGUACCCGAAAGGGUAUUUCUCUUGGGCUAUUUACAAGGUGCUGCAUGGUUGUCGUCAGCUCGUGCCGUGAGGUGUCGGGUUAAGUCCCAUAACGAGCGCAACCCCUAUCGUUAGUUGCCAGCGGAUAAUGCCGGGGACUCUAGCGAGACUGCCACCGUAAGGUGAGAGGAAGGUGGGGAUGACGUCAAAUCAGCACGGCCCUUAUGUCCAGGGCUACACACGUGUUACAAUGGUCGGUACAAAGGGCAGCUACACAGCGAUGUGAUGCUAAUCUCUAAAGCCUGUCCGUAGUCCGGAUUGUUCUCUGCAACUCGAGAGCAUGAAGCCGGAAUCGCUAGUAAUCGCGGAUCAGCAUGCCGCGGUGAAUACGUUCCCGGGUCUUGUACACACCGCCCGUCACACCAUGGGAGUGGAAUCUGCCAGAAGUAGGUAGCCUAACCGCAAGGGGGGCGCUUACCACGGUGGGUUUCAUGACUGGGGUGAAGUCGUAAUCAAGGUACC